UCUAUCAUAAUGUGGUAAUGAUUUUCGAAUAUAUACAUAGUACUGUCCAAAAAAAUUAGACAAUAAAGAAACUGAAAAAAUUCAUCUAGCUUUUGGCAACUUUUUUUAACAAAGAAUGACAUUAAGAUUGUUCAUAGAGAAACAACUAAUGUUCAUACAAAACACUAGAAAGACCGGCAAUUUAGAGCAUUCCAAAACCCUUUGACAUGCUAAACAAAUUGCAAUAUGGUUGACAUCUUUCGAGUCCAUAUCUAUAUGCUUCGUAUUUGCAAACGACUUUUAAUUUGAUUAACAUCUUCCACAAUCUUUUGAAUAAAUUCAUGUUCGUACCUGCAACUAUUGUCUACAUGUUUCUAGCUAUAUCUUGAUAAUGUUUUGAGAUUAUUGUUCAAUUUCAACAUUAUGAAUAUAUUAUUCUCUAUAUGUGUGUAAUCCGGACUAUAGAUCCGCCCCUUCCUCAAAUAUAUUAUAAGAUUUUGGUUUUCUUAAAAUAUGUACAGACUCCUUUUAGCUAUUGCAGAAAAAGAAUUGGUAAAUCUUUCAUUAUCUUUCACCCUUAUAUUUAAAUGUUUUCUCAUUAGAUCUCAUGGUUCUUUUCUCCCUAAAUUUUACUUUUUUGUAUUUCAAUAAAAACUUCGGUUGCUAUGAAUCGAAUUUUUUAUGUCUUGAAAAAAUUUUCGGUUUCUGUUAAUCGAAUUUUCCUUGAAUUUGAACUAGAAAAAACUUCGGUUUCUGCCAACCGAAAUUUUUAUCAAGGGCAAAAUUGAAAUAUUUUGGGUAUAAAAGAUACACGGGAGGCCUAGAGAGAAAACAUCUUAUAUCCAUUCCCCUAUCCUCUUUUUUUUGGAUAAAUGAUUGUUUACCUCCCGUAAAGUUAGCGAAAUUUGAUUUACGUUAUGCGUAAUUUUUUUCUGUUUACCACCUACAAUAUGAAGAUUCUCUCAUUUUGCACCCCAAGUGAACAAUUGGACAGCUGACUGUGCAUUUGCGAUGACGUGACAUGCACACAUGAAACAAUAUUAAUUUAUAUUUAUUUUUAAUUCCACUUAAGCUAAUUUUAAUUUUUUUUAAAAAAAUAAUAUUUAUUUUUUUAAAAAAAAAUUCUUAAAACUUUAUCAUUCUAUAUAACAAUAUUUUCAUGUAUUUAUUUCUCUAGAGAAUAUAAUUAUUUUUGAAAACUUCAAAGUUGAAGUACCGACUUAUUUACCAACCCUCUAAAUCGUGAUCAUAACGUCUAACAAAGAUGUGUUGUUAUAAAAGAUUAAAAUCAACUUAUAUUGAGAUCAAAUGUGGUAAUGAUGUUCGAAUAGAUAAACAGUUGCUUUUGGCAAUUUUUUUUAACAAAGAAUGAAAUUAAGAUUGGUCAUAGAGAAACAACUUAUGUUCAUACAAAACACUAGAAAGGACAGUACCUGGAUUCCCUACAGUAAAUUUUUAACACAGUUUUCUGCUGUAGUUAAUCUGGAUCAUUCAUUUAUGAUCGGACGGUACACAUUUCAAACACAGUUUUCUAAAUUAAACAAUCUGAACCGUCAAUUCAGAUCGGACGGUGCAUAUCUGUUACAGCAGGGUGCUGUUACAGCAUCAAAUCCGUUUCCGAAAGGACAAGCUAAACAAAUUGCAAUAUGGUUGACAUCUUUCGAGUCCAUAACUAUAUGCUUCGUAUUUGCAAACGACUUUUAAUUUGAUCGGCAUCUUCCACGAUCUUUUGAAUAAAUUCAUGUUCGUACCUGCAAAAGUAUGUACAAGAUCUUUCA
This 1757-nucleotide long non-coding RNA is filed under the name Trifolium pratense (red clover). Its description in RNAcentral is "long non-coding RNA (TPRA_LNC012829)". The record is from RNAcentral. Lineage: Eukaryota; Viridiplantae; Streptophyta; Magnoliopsida; Fabales; Fabaceae.